RNAcentral lists this microRNA (22 nucleotides) under Ascaris suum (pig roundworm). RNAcentral describes it as "asu-miR-236-5p". Its record names the gene asu-miR-236-5p. The record is from miRBase by way of RNAcentral. Lineage: Eukaryota; Metazoa; Nematoda; Chromadorea; Rhabditida; Ascarididae.
GUCCUACCUGCAAGUUAUUAGA